AUGAAGGUCUUCAUCCUGGCUCUCCUUGCCCUCGCAGCAACCACCGCCAUUGCCCAGUUGGAAACCACAUGUAGCCAGGGCUUUGGACAAUCCCAACAACAACAACAACCUGGUCAACGACAGUUGCUGGAGCAGAUGAAGCCGUGUGUGGCAUUCCUGCAACAAAAGUGUAGCCCACUGAGAAUGCCAUUCCUCCAGACACAAGUCGAGCAACUUAGCAGCUGCCAGAUCGUGCAAUACCAAUGCUGCCAGCAGUUGGCGCAGAUCCCAGAGCGAACCCGGUGCCAUGCCAUCCACAUCGUGGUAGAGGCUAUCAUUCAACAACAAUCCCAACAACAAUGGCAGGAGCCCCAACAGCAAGCACAACAUAAGAGCAUGAGGAUGUUGCUUGAGAACCUAUCAUUGAUGUGCAACAUCUACGUCCCGGUACAAUGCCAGCAGCAACAACAACUGGGGCAACAACAACAACAACAGUUGCAGGAGCAGUUGACACCGUGCACGACAUUCCUGCAACAGCAGUGUAGCCCAGUGACAGUGCCAUUCCCCCAGAUACCGGUGGAUCAGCCUACCAGCUGCCAAAAUGUGCAGCACCAAUGUUGCCGACAGCUAUCACAGAUCCCAGAGCAAUUCCGUUGCCAAGCCAUCCACAACGUGGCGGAGGCUAUCAGGCAACAACAACCCCAACAACAAUGGCAGGGUAUGUACCAGCCCCAGCAGCCAGCACAACUUGAGAGCAUUAGGAUGUCGCUUCAGGCCCUGCGGUCGAUGUGUAGCAUCUACAUCCCAGUACAAUGCCCCGCCCCCACCACCUACAACAUUCCAUUGGUGGCUACCUACACUGGUGGUGCGUGCUAG
Molecule: ribosomal RNA, 855 nt
Filed under: Triticum aestivum (bread wheat)
Lineage: Eukaryota; Viridiplantae; Streptophyta; Magnoliopsida; Poales; Poaceae
Description: partial small subunit ribosomal RNA
Source: RNAcentral